ACUCCACCCCAGUUCCCAGUGUUAUGACAUCUGCCUUCUACUCUUUGGUAUACUGUGUUUAUUUCUAGUGAAGCAAGAUCAUCCUGUAUUGUAAUUUAUUUUUAUUAUUUAUUAUUUUUGAGACAGAGUCUUGCUCUGUUGCCAAGCUGCAGUGCAGUGGUGCCAUCUUUGCUCACUGCAACCUCCACCUUCCGGGUUCAACUGUUUCUCAUGCCUCAACCUCCGAGUAACUGGGACUACAGGUGCAUACCACCACACCCAGCUAAUUUUUGUAUUUUUAGUAGAUACAGUGUUUCACUAUAUUGACCAGCAUAUCUCAAUCUCUUGACCUUGUGAUCUGCCUGCCUCAGCUUCCCAAAGUUCUGGGAUUACAGGUGAGCCACUGUGCCCAGCCUGUGAAUUUUUUUAUGGUAGACAAGGUGUCUCACUAUGUAACCCAGGCUGGAGUGCAGUGGUGCUUUCAGAGCUCACUGCAGCCUCAACCUCCUGGGCUCAAGUGAUCUUCCUGCCUCAGUCUCCUGAGUAGCUGGGACUACAGGUGCAUGCCACCAAGCCUGGCUAAUUUUAUUUAUUUUCUGUGGAGAUGGGGUCUCCCUAUGUUGCCCAGAAUGGUCUUGAAGUUCUUUUAUUUUAUUUUUUUUAAGACAGAGUCACUCUGUUGCCCACGCUGGAUUGCAGGGGCAGGAUCUUGGCCCACUGCUACCUCCACCUCCCAGGUUCAGGAGAAUUGCCUGAACCCAGGAGGCGGAGGUUGCGGUGAGCCGAGAUCACGCCAUUGCACUCCAGCCUGGGUAACAAGAGCGAAACUCCGUCUCAAAAGAACAAAACAAAACAAAAAAGCUGGUCUUAGCCUGACCAACAUGGAGAAACCCCCUCUUCACUAAAGAUACAAAAUUAGCCGGGCGUGGUGGUGGGCGCCUGUCAUCCCAGCUACUCGGGAGGCUGAGGCAGGAGAAUUGCCUGAACCCGGGAGGCGGAGGUUGCGGUGAGCCGAGAUCGCACCAUUGUACUCCAGCCUGGGUAACAAGAGCAAAACUCCGUCUCAAAAGAACAAAACAAAACAAAAAAGCCUGACCAACAUGGAGAAACCCCCUCUUCACUAAAGAUACAAAAUUAGCCGGGCGUGGUGGUGGGCGCCUGUCAUCCCAGCUACUCGGGAGGCUGAGGCAGGAGAAUCACUUGAACCCAGGAGGCAGAGGUUGCAGUGAGCCGAGAUUGUGCCAUUGUACGCCAGCCUGGGUGAUAAGAGCAAAACUCCACCAAAAAAAAAAAAAAAAAAAAAAAAAAAAAGUUGGUCUUCUCAAGGCUCCCAGAAAAGAGGAGACGUUCAAAGGCUCACCAUCUCUCUGUUUUUUCCAGUUUCCCUGCCACCUGGGCGUGGAGAAGGGAUGUAGGGAGUGUUCGUGUGUGCACGCGUAUGUGUGUUUGUGAGCACAGGCAUGUGUCUGUAGGCGUGUGCUUCCCUGCUGGUCCCUGUCUAAUACUCUUCUUCUUGUGAGAAGACCGUAGCGGCCAUGGCAACAGCAGGGACUGACAUUGUGGAGAAACGCGGAAGGUGUGUGAAUUGUCCAUUUUACACUGCUCCUUGCAUGCCGACGCUCUCCCGGGUGAUAAUGAAACAGGAGGAGGACGGGAAUAUUGUGUUUUCUGGGCCUGUCACUUUCUGGGGCAGCUGGCUGCUAUGCAAUCUGGUG
Molecule: long non-coding RNA, 1694 nt
Organism: Callithrix jacchus (white-tufted-ear marmoset)
Lineage: Eukaryota; Metazoa; Chordata; Mammalia; Primates; Cebidae
Source: Ensembl